This 604-nucleotide ribosomal RNA is filed under the name uncultured Pseudomonas sp. RNAcentral's name for it is "bacterial SSU rRNA". It matches the Rfam family "Bacterial small subunit ribosomal RNA", at positions 100 to 701 of the family's 1533-position model. Lineage: Bacteria; Pseudomonadati; Pseudomonadota; Gammaproteobacteria; Pseudomonadales; Pseudomonadaceae. The record is from RNAcentral.
GACGGGUGAGUAAUGCCUAGGAAUCUGCCUGGUAGUGGGGGAUAACGUCCGGAAACGGGCGCUAAUACCGCAUACGUCCUGAGGGAGAAAGUGGGGGAUCUUCGGACCUCACGCUAUCAGAUGAGCCUAGGUCGGAUUAGCUAGUUGGUGGGGUAAAGGCCUACCAAGGCGACGAUCCGUAACUGGUCUGAGAGGAUGAUCAGUCACACUGGAACUGAGACACGGUCCAGACUCCUACGGGAGGCAGCAGUGGGGAAUAUUGGACAAUGGGCGAAAGCCUGAUCCAGCCAUGCCGCGUGUGUGAAGAAGGUCUUCGGAUUGUAAAGCACUUUAAGUUGGGAGGAAGGGCAGUAAGUUAAUACCUUGCUGUUUUGACGUUACCAACAGAAUAAGCACCGGCUAACUUCGUGCCAGCAGCCGCGGUAAUACGAAGGGUGCAAGCGUUAAUCGGAAUUACUGGGCGUAAAGCGCGCGUAGGUGGUUCAGCAAGUUGGAUGUGAAAUCCCCGGGCUCAACCUGGGAACUGCAUCCAAAACUACUGAGCUAGAGUACGGUAGAGGGUGGUGGAAUUUCCUGUGUAGCGGUGAAAUGCGUAGAUAUAGGA